AGUGAACGCUGGCGGUAGGCCUAACACAUGCAAGUCGAACGGCAGCACAGUAAGAGCUUGCUCUUACGGGUGGCGAGUGGCGGACGGGUGAGGAAUACAUCGGAAUCUACUUUUUCGUGGGGGAUAACGUAGGGAAACUUACGCUAAUACCGCAUACGACCUACGGGGGAAAGCAGGGGAUCUUCGGACCUUGCGCGAUUGAAUGAGCCGAUGUCGGAUUAGCUAGUUGGCGGGGUAAAGGCCCACCAAGGCGACGAUCCGUAGCUGGUCUGAGAGGAUGAUCAGCCACACUGGAACGGAGACCCCGUCCAGACUCCUACGGGAGGCAGCAGUGGGGUAUAUUGGACAAUGGGCGCGAGCCUGAUCCAGCCAUACCGCGUGGGAGAAGAAAGCCUUCGGGUUGUAAAGCCCUUUUGUUGGGAAAGAACAGCAGCAGGUUAAUACCCCGCUGUUCUGACGGUACCCAGAGAAUAAGCACCGGCUAACUUCGUG
This 492-nucleotide ribosomal RNA is filed under the name uncultured bacterium. RNAcentral describes it as "partial 16S ribosomal RNA". It matches the Rfam family "Bacterial small subunit ribosomal RNA", at positions 29 to 507 of the family's 1533-position model. The record is from RNAcentral.